Molecule: ribosomal RNA, 500 nt
Filed under: uncultured bacterium
Lineage: Bacteria
Description: partial 16S ribosomal RNA
Rfam family: Bacterial small subunit ribosomal RNA
Source: RNAcentral
AUUGAACGCUGGCGGAAUGCUUUACACAUGCAAGUCGAACGGCAGCACGGACUUCGGUCUGGUGGCGAGUGGCGAACGGGUGAGUAAUGUAUCGGAACGUGCCCAGUCGUGGGGGAUAACGUAGUGAAAAUUACGCUAAUACCGCAUACGAUCUAUGGAUGAACGCGGGGGAUCGCAAGACCUCGCGCGAUUGGAGCGGCCGAUAUCCGAUUAGGUAGUUGGUGGGGUAAAGGCCCACCAAGCCAACGAUCUGUAGCUGGUAGGAGAGGACGACCAGCCACACUGGAACUGAGACACGGUCAAGACUCCUACGGGAGGCAGCAGUGGGGAAUUUUGGAAAAGGGGCGAAAGCCUGAUCCAGCCAUUCCGCGUGCAGGAUGAAGGCCCUCGGGUUGUAAACUGCUUUUGUACAGAACGAAAAGGUUUCUACUAAUACUAGGAGCUCAUGACGGUACUGUAAGAAUAAGCACCGGCUAACUACGUGCCAGCCGCCGCAGUAA